AUUGGAACUUGAAGUUGAAACUUGCAAGGUUGUGUUGUGUUUUGAAAAGUUUAUGUUUUCAUUUUUAGUUUAUGUAAUUUAUAUUGUAACUUGUAUGCGUCACGUAAUCAUGUUUUAGUUUGUUCAAGCUAUAUCUUGUAUUAUUAAUUUAUUGUGGCCGUGAAUGAUCAAUUUCAAGCAGUAACAGUGAUAAUAUUUUAUGAUUUAUAUAAUUAUUAUAUCACAAUCAUUAUAUCCACAUGUCGAUCAAAAAUAACGAAAAAAGUUUUUGUUUACCCAAGACAAAAAUUUGGGCUCUUCAUAAAUCUAGUACUCGGAAUAAAUACUAUUAUUAUAAUAUUAUAACUGGGAAAUCAUUCUGGGAACGUCCAAAGGAUCUCAAAGAUGAUGAAAUCAAUUUUCCGGAGGAAAACAAAGAAAAAAAGUUACUGCAAUCUUGCCAAAGGAUUCUGAGGACUCAGCUGAACAAUGCAAAUCUUCUAAGUCAGCCAGGCAGCUAAGUCAUGAGGCUAGGAAGAAAAACAAGGAAAUGCUGUCUAAAGAUAAACCCGAGCCUGAACUCCCUGACUACACUGACUCAGAAGAUGACCAGCCAAGUACAGUGAGCAGAGGCAACACAACUGACAAUGAAGCUAAUAAAUUACAAUCGGGAGAGAAGUUUGAAGAUAGCAAAGUGCCAGUCUUUGAUGCAAGGCGAAUCGGUGGUAUACUAUUUAAGCUCAACGAGGAGCUCGAACCUAUGGACUGGACACCUUCAACUGAAAACGAAUUUGAAGAAAUUCAGUCGAAAUCGGUGAAUACCGAAUGGCAACAUUUGGAAAAUGAAGUUAUCCCUAUGGAAAUUGAUGAAGCCACACUGGAUGAUACGUUCGUUGUAAUCGACACCAACAUAAUCAUUCGGGACUCGGCUUUGCUCGAAUCUUUGACCCAUUUCGAGUUAGCUGGUGGGAGUAAAAUCAAUGUAAUUGUGCCUUGGCAAGUACUACAAGAGUUGGAUCAUCUAAAGCAUAAACUGAAAGGCCUACCAGCAACCCACUGCAGAAAUGCGAUCCGAUUUAUUCGUAGUUGUUUCAGCAAUAAGUCGAGCAACAUGAUAGUCCAAAAUUCUGUUUCGGAAAAGCUUUGCAGCGAGUUGAUAAAGAUUGUAGUGCCUGACGACAACAUAUUAGCUUGCUGUUUGCAAAUCAUCGGAAUCGAUCGGAAAACGAUAUUACUCACUGAUGAUCUAAACCUUUGCAAUAAAGCAAGUGCCCAUAAUAUCGAGGCUUACACAAAAAUUGAAUUCAUUCCGAAGCUUUCCAAUAGAAACCAAAAAAGUCUUCCAGGUAUUGAAAAGAAUAAUAGUUGCGUAGGAACACUCCUGAAAAAGGUUCCAGGCCAUAAAGAAGAGCUGCCCUAUUCAGUUUUUAGAAACAUGAUGCCCCGUAAAUAUUGCGACCUUUCUUUUUCGCAAAACGACAAAAAGACCGGGUUUCCUGGAAAGGCACUAGGAACUUUGUCGCUAAAGAGGCCGAACACUGGUUCCAGUUCAACAGUAUGCUCUCUAACGUCCGAAGAUCAAAUCCACCAAAGCAAGAAAAUGAAAGACCAGUAUUGAGAUCUUUGCAAGUUUGAAAUCGUCUUGGCCGAAUUUAAAUUAUCUAAACUGAAGAAUGGCAUGAAUGCAAUGCCGAAUCGUUCUCUCGCCUCAAAAAAUCCAAAUGCGUCUUUAAUGUUUGCAAGACUUCCUCACUCGGAACUCUGUCAAGGAUUACUGGAUGAAAUAUGACUAUGUACGGAUUGAACUAUCUCUCAUAUUCAAAAAUUAUUUACUCAGAAGCUGAUUAUCUUUCAUCAUUUUUUUAUCCAUAUCGUGUUUUUAGUAUCGAAGUGAAUUAUUUUUGAUUUACCAAUGAUUGCGUAUAUAUUCUGAUGGGCGUAACUUCAUAUUCGUACUCUGAAUUCUUGAAAAAGUAUUCACAUUAUAAUUUCUAUGGUGCUUCGUUGAUACGGUGCUAAAGUGUUCUGUAAUAUCUGAUUAUUAUUGAAAGUAAUUAUUACUCAAUUUUUAUCAAUGAUUUAGUCUCUAUCAGUUGAUUUCAGUUCUUAUUUAUUAUGAAAUUCUUCACAUUUAUAAAGCUGCGGCACUUUGAUCUCUCGUUUUGUGUUUUUAUUAGAUUUUAUUCGUUGUUAUGAAUCGUUUAUUUUUUUAUCUACCAUUUUUUAAUUAAGAUUGUUGAAACUAGUUCUUAUGUCACUUUUAUAUUCGUAUGCUUUUUUCUCGGUUCCGAGAAAAUUAUGUUGGCAUUCGUUUUUUUUACAAUUAUAUUCAUGUAAUAAAUAUACAGGCUUAUCAUAAAAGAAUGAUGCGGUUUCGACCUUUGUAAGAAAAACAGAAUUUCUUACAGUUAAUGUAGUUUAUUUAUCUAAUCUGUCGUCUAAAACAUUUUUUACAUAGUUAAUAUAUCUGAAUAUGGGCGUCUUUAGUUGCUUGACAAAUGUCCAAAAGAUAAUCAACUUCUCUCUAACAUUCCUUCGGUUAUGGUUGUCAUUGCUUCUUUGAUCCUGUUUUUUAAGUAGUUCAGGUCGCAACGAACAAUGGCUUCGAUGUAAUACCACAAGAUGUGUACUCCUUGGAGCCCACAGCAUAGAUCCUGGCCGGCCUAUCCAUUGAUCUACAAAUUUCUCGUUCAAAGCGUCCGUGACCAAUUCACUGAAUUGUGGGGGAACACCAUCCUGUUGGAAAUGAAGUUCGAGUUCAUUGAACCUAUUAAUGUUUUCGAGUCCAUCUAGCUGAGGAAAGCAAUAAUAGAUUAGCAUGUCGAGAUACACAACUCUAUUGAUGUUUUAGCAAAGAAGGAAGGCCCUUUCACGGGAAUAUUCAUCAUACCACACCAAACAUUUACUUUGGGCGAAUUACGUUGUUUGUCAACAAUUUGGUUUUUCAGAGCCCCAUAUUCGUGAAUUGUGUCUGUUAGCAAAUCCACUCACAUGAAAAGUAGCUAAGUCUGUAAAAAUUAUAUCAUCUAAAAAUGAUUAGUUUUCACUUAUCCUGUCCAACAUUUCAACAGCAAAAUUGUAACGGCUUACACCAUCAUCGAGUUUUAAUCUUACAGUAUCUGGUUUUUAUUAGCGUGUAAUUUGUGUUCUUUAUGUAAAUCUUUGUGAACCGCUGUUUUUGGAAUGCCUAAUUAAACACUUCGACGAGGGAUGGACCAGGACUGUAAUUGCCGAUUGUCCAAUUAGUUGAAUUGUUUCGGCUGGUACACUUGGUCUGUCGGUUGAUUUCCGUUUCUAAACUGUUUCAGUUCCUUCAAAUUGUUACCAGCGUUUUAUGUUUUUAUUGUGCGAUGGAUCUCUUCCAAAUUCACGUCGGAACGCACGUUGAACUAAGAUUACGGAUUCAGCCAUCACAAACCACACUUUGCUUUAUCUUAGAGAACAUAGUACAAAAA
RNAcentral lists this unclassified non-coding RNA (3434 nucleotides) under Nilaparvata lugens (brown planthopper). RNAcentral's name for it is "transcriptional protein SWT1, transcript variant X1". Lineage: Eukaryota; Metazoa; Arthropoda; Insecta; Hemiptera; Delphacidae. The record is from RNAcentral.